Molecule: unclassified non-coding RNA, 251 nt
Filed under: Chaetothyriales sp.
Lineage: Eukaryota; Fungi; Ascomycota; Eurotiomycetes; Chaetothyriales
Description: partial contains 5.8S ribosomal RNA, internal transcribed spacer 2, and large subunit ribosomal RNA
Source: RNAcentral
CGCACAUUGCGCCCUUUGGUAUUCCGAAGGGCAUGCCUAUUCGAGCGUCAUUAUCAACCUUCCAGCACUUGUGCUUGUAGUUGGGUCGAGUCGGGUGACCGACUGACCUCAAAGACAAUGGUAGUUGUUCUUGGAACUCUCGGUACAAUGAGCUCUCACCAGCACGUACCGGUCAGGGAACUGAGACCUAUCGACCUUUUUAUUUUUCUUAGGUUGACCUCGGAUUAGGUAGGGAUACCCGCUGAACUUAA